RNAcentral lists this ribosomal RNA (1332 nucleotides) under uncultured bacterium. Its description in RNAcentral is "bacterial SSU rRNA". It matches the Rfam family "Bacterial small subunit ribosomal RNA". The record is from RNAcentral.
AGAGUUUGAUCAUGGCUCAGAACGUACGCUGGCGGCACGCCUAACACAUGCAAGUCGAACGAAGUAGCAAUACUUAGUGGCAGACGGGUGAGUAACAUGUAGGUAUCUGCCCUUUGGCCUGGAAUAACACGAGGAAACUUGUGCUAAUACCGGAUAAGUCUUUACAGAGAAAGCUUUAUGCACCAUUGGAUGAGCCUGCACUUGAUUAGUUUGUUGGUGGGGUAAUGGCCUACCAAGACUGUGAUCAAUAGCUGAUUUGAGAGGAUGAUCAGCCACAUUGGGACUGAGACACGGCCCAAACUCCUACGGGAGGCAGCAGUGGGGAAUCUUGCACAAUGGAGGAAACUCUGAUGCAGCGAUGCCGCGUGAGUGAAGAAGGCCUUUGGGUUGUAAAGCUCUUUCGUCGGGGAAGAAAAUGACUGUACCCGAAUAAGAAGGUCCGGCUAACUUCGUGCCAGCAGCCGCGGUAAUACGAAGGGACCUAGCGUAGUUCGGAAUUACUGGGCUUAAAGAGUUCGUAGGUGGUUGAAAAAGUUGGUGGUGAAAUCCCAGAGCUUAACUCUGGAACUGCCAUCAAAACUUUUCAGCUAGAGUAUGAUAGAGGAAAGCAGAAUUUCUAGUGUAGAGGUGAAAUUCGUAGAUAUUAGAAAGAAUACCAAUUGCGAAGGCAGCUUUCUGGAUCAUUACUGACACUGAGGAACGAAAGCAUGGGUAGCGAAGAGGAUUAGAUACCCUCGUAGUCCAUGCCGUAAACGAUGUGUGUUAGACGUUGGAAAUUUAUUUUCAGUGUCGCAGCGAAAGCGAUAAACACACCGCCUGGGGAGUACGACCGCAAGGUUAAAACUCAAAUGAAUUGACGGGGACCCGCACAAGUAGUGGAGCAUGUGGUUUAAUUCGAAGAUACGCGCAGAACCUUACCAACACUUGACAUGUUCGUCGCGACUUUAAGAGAUUAAAGUUUUCGGUUCGGCCGGACGAAACACAGGUGCUGCAUGGCUGUCGUCAGCUCGUGUCGUGAGAUGUUGGGUUAAGUCCCGCAACGAGCGCAACCCUCACUUUUAGUUGCCAUCAUUAAGUUGGGCACUCUGAAAGAACUGCCAGUGAUAAGCUGGAGGAAGGUGGGGAUGACGUCAAGUCCUCAUGGCCCUUACGUGUUGGGCUACACACGUGCUACAAUGGUAUCUACAACAGGAAGCAAGACGGCGACGUUAAGCAAAUCCUCAAAAGAUACCUCAGUUCGGAUUGCACUCUGCAACUCGAGUGCAUGAAGCUGGAAUUACUAGUAAUCGUGGAUCAGCGUGCCACGGUGAAUGCGUUCCCGGGUCUUGUAGA